Molecule: transfer RNA, 73 nt
Filed under: Chitinophagaceae bacterium
Lineage: Bacteria; Pseudomonadati; Bacteroidota; Chitinophagia; Chitinophagales; Chitinophagaceae
Description: tRNA-Thr
Rfam family: tRNA
About the family: Transfer RNA (tRNA) molecules are approximately 80 nucleotides in length. Their secondary structure includes four short double-helical elements and three loops (D, anti-codon, and T loops).
Source: RNAcentral
GCCACCUUAGCUCAGCCGGUAGAGCAACUGAUUUGUAAUCAGUAGGUCGUUGGUUCGAUUCCGACAGGUGGCU